RNAcentral lists this ribosomal RNA (321 nucleotides) under Triticum aestivum (bread wheat). Its description in RNAcentral is "partial small subunit ribosomal RNA". Lineage: Eukaryota; Viridiplantae; Streptophyta; Magnoliopsida; Poales; Poaceae. The record is from RNAcentral.
AUGCUGGGGAAGCAGGGAGGAUGCCGUUCAGAACGCCUGGGUCUAGAGGAGUGUGUCCAGGUGGAUAGGUGGUGGCCGAGGAUGGCCAUGAGCAGUUGGGUUGGGCAAAUGUCAACGCGAUGGCGUCGUUGCUCAAGGUACCAACUCCUUGUUUUGACCCAACGUUUCUUGGCUAGCUGUACAUGGUCGGGACUGUUUCGUGCAUCUAAGCGACGGCUCAUGCCAUCCACUUCCAAAGCAAUAAGCAAAAUAUUUCAAAAGCCCGUGACAGCGCACGUCCAUCUCUCAAAAGUGAUCAUGUGCCGCGAAGCCUCCUCGUAG